RNAcentral lists this ribosomal RNA (248 nucleotides) under uncultured bacterium. RNAcentral describes it as "partial 16S ribosomal RNA". It matches the Rfam family "Bacterial small subunit ribosomal RNA", at positions 527 to 779 of the family's 1533-position model. The record is from RNAcentral.
CGAAGGUGCAAGCGUUACUCGGAAUUACUGGCGUAAGCGUGCGUAGGUGGUCGUUAAGUCCGUUGUGAAGCCCUGGGCUCAACCUGGGAACUGCAGUGGAUACUGGGCGACUAGAGUGUGGUAGAGGGUAGCGGAAUUCCUGGUGUAGCAGUGAAAUGCGUAGAGAUCAGGAGGAACAUCCAUGGCGAAGGCAGCUACCUGGACCAACACUGACACUGAGGCACGAAAGCGUGGGAGCAAACAGGAUU